GCCGGGUGUGGUGGCUCACACCUGUAAUUCCAGCACUUUGGAGGCCGAGGCAGGUGGAUCACCUGAGGUCAGGAGUCCAAGACCAGCCUGGCCAACAUGGUGAAACUCUGUCUCUA
This is an unclassified non-coding RNA of Pongo abelii (Sumatran orangutan), 116 nucleotides long. It matches the Rfam family "Metazoan signal recognition particle RNA". From Rfam's summary of the family: The signal recognition particle (SRP) is a universally conserved ribonucleoprotein. It is involved in the co-translational targeting of proteins to membranes. The record is from Ensembl. NCBI's taxonomy places the organism in Eukaryota, Metazoa, Chordata, Mammalia, Primates, Hominidae.